UGGAGGUUAAGGAGUGGAGCUUCAGGUCAGGUCAGUUUAGUUCUGGGUAACUAGCCCAGGACAAGGUAGUCUCAGGCUAGCAUUUGGAGGUGGAGGGCUGCUCUGGUUCUGGGUUUUAGGGUGUAAAUAAAGUUCCUUUGUAAAUAAAACCCCUUCCAACCUUCAGUUGUGCCUCUGGAUUAUUCUCGCUCCCAGAACACAAUAUAUUCCAUACAAAUGUCC
This is a long non-coding RNA of Perognathus longimembris pacificus (Pacific pocket mouse), 222 nucleotides long. RefSeq lists it as uncharacterized. NCBI's taxonomy places the organism in Eukaryota, Metazoa, Chordata, Mammalia, Rodentia, Heteromyidae. The transcript has 3 exons. The record is from RefSeq and is a predicted model, not a curated record.